GAUUCAUGCAAGGCCCUCGGGUGAGGGACUGUCGAUCCCGACAGCCAUGCCAGCGCAGGGCCAAGAAAGAAUGUCCUGGAAGGGUGGGGAUGGGUUGGGCUUUCUGAACCCUCCCACCUCAGGAAGGCAAAAGACACAGAUCACAGGCAGCAAGGGGCUGCCAUUUCUGAUGCUUAUACCCUCCACGGUGGCUACAGGAGCCCGCACCAGCAGUGGGAGGAGCAACAUUCCAGAAGCUGCUUCUCUCUGCACCGAUGCAGAAACUGUGCCUGCCAGAUAGUAAUGAUCCAGCCGAGGGCACCAGGCUACAAUUUGCAGAACUGGACUGAAGAAUGGCUGACAUAGCCAGCUGCAGUGGCUCAUGCUUGUAAUCCCAACAGUUUAGGAGGCCAAAGCAGGAGGAUCACUUGAAGUCAUGAGUUCAAGACCAGCCUGAGCAACAUGGCAAGACCCCAUCUCUAUAAAAAAUACAAUAAUUAGCAGGGCAUGGUCGCACAUGUCUGUAGUCCCAGCUGCUUGGUAGGCUGAGGCGGAUGGAUCAUUUCAGCCCAGGAGGCAAGACUGCAGUGAGCCAUGAGUAUGCCACUGCACUCCAGCCUGGGUGACAAAAGAAAAAAAAAAUAGAAUGGAUGAUAUAAACUUUAUUGUUUACUGUGGGGUUGCGGUGGGGGGAGGCGUUAGUUCGUUCUUCUUUCUCUCAAUACCUUUACAAAGUCUCUGUUUCAAAAGAGAGCGCAGAUUAUGCCUGCUACCCCAAGUCCUGAGUCAGAAUUCAAAGGCAAAUAUGGUAGGGUGAUGAGGCAGAAAGGACUUAGGCAGCAGGAGAGCUGUGAUUGGUGGAAGGGGCAGGCAGGAAGAGUUUGGGUUUGGAGACACUGGUUGCUGAGUCAGAACUCCAGCUCUGUCAUUGCCUGUGUGACUUUGGGCAAGUUACAUGUGAUUGUUGGAGCUUCCAUUUCAUUUGCUAAAUAAUUGGGAUCAUAAUACAUACAACGUGGAGUUGUUAGGAUGUCACGAGAGAAUGCACAAGAAGUAAGUACUCCCGAAUUGAGCUAUUAUCUACCUCAAAGGAUUACUGGAGAAAUAGAAAAGGGAUAUAAAGAAACACAGCAAAGAUGCUUCAUAAAAGGGCAAUGAAGAAGGUGGCAGCCAGACUGAAGGGAAGAGGGGCUGCAAGACUUGGAGUUGGUGAUGGCAACCCUGGAGAGGAAAGGAACAUGGCCAAGAGGUUGGGAUUCAUGCUAGAUCAAGAAGGAAGAACCCAGAAGCAGCCCAGAGGCUUCACAGCUACAUAAGAAAAAAAAGGGGGCCAGGCACGAUGCCUCAUGCCUGUAAUCCAGCACUUUGGGAGCCUGAGGCGGGUGGAUCACGAGGUCAGGAGUUCGAGAGCAGCCUGACCAACACAGUGAAACCCUGUCUCCACUGAGAAUACAAAAAUUAGCCAGGCAUGGUGGCACACGCCUGUAAUCCCAGCUACUCAGGAGGCUGAGGCAGGAGAAUCCAGGAGGCGGAACUGCGGUGGGCAGAGAUCACGCCACUGUACUCUAUUCUGGGUGACAGAGUAAGACUCCAUCUCAAAAAAAAAAAAAGGAUGUGACUAUUGCCAAAACCAACUUGUAAAACAUCACCAUGAUAUGUCACCAAGCUACCUACGAGAUGCUGGGCAUACCUUCGGUGGAAGAAAGAAACAGCUAUACAACUUUGGGUUGCUUCAUUUUUCUCUUGCAUUUCUAGUUCAGGUUGGUUUUGGUGUUCUGUUGUUGUUGUUGUUUUGCAUUCCAAAAAAAAUAAAAAAUAA
This 1798-nucleotide long non-coding RNA is filed under the name Homo sapiens (human). Its description in RNAcentral is "HSALNT0234018". Lineage: Eukaryota; Metazoa; Chordata; Mammalia; Primates; Hominidae. The record is from RNAcentral.